CACGAUUGUGCGCUGAGUUCUGGAUUCUAGUACCAAUUAUGAGUGACUAUGCAUGUUGUGCUAUUUGUCAAGAGGUUUAAAUAACCAGGAAAAGACGUGGUGUUUCUCAGCACCCCGCUGGCCGGCUGGCCCGGCCCGGGACCAGGUGUGGAGAGAGAUUCCCGCACGCGGGAGCUAUCUGAAGAAAUGUGCACGGCCAGAGUAGCGAGUGUGAGGCACACACAAAAUUAUCUGAGAACAGUAAUAGAAGGGCACAGGACAUGUGUGAGAACUGAGGCAGGAAGAUCGGAAGGUGAAGAUGCUCACAGGACAACUCGUGCUGGAAACAGGUGCAGAUCGGGAAAUGGUGGCAGGUCUUAAAAGAUUCUCCAGCACCCUCUGCAGUAGAACUUUCUAGAAUGUUCAUGAAAUACUGAAGAAUACAAAGAAUCAGGAAAGACGUUCAUGUCAAGAACCAAGACUUUGGUGUUGGACGUACCUCUUGAGAGUGACAGGAAGGCCUAAAGGAAGAAAGAAAUUGUGGACAGAAGAAAGAACAAGAGGGACAGCACGGAAGAACAAAGAGGAAGAACUUCCCUACAGUGGGACCAUGCUACAAUCUCAGGGUAAGAGAUGAAGGAUCCAUGUGGAUUAAGAAGACUGCUUAGAGGCAAAUGUUGACUGCCCUACGUAUAUUCAAUGUGUACUUUAGAUUAUUAACAAUGUGAUCCCCUCAAAUCUACUGAGUGGGUGGUAGGAAAAUUCAGACAUCUGGGCAAUCAAAAUAGUUUCCAAGUAUCAAUUGUAACAAAGUAUCCUACGAUAGGACUCAGCCAC
Molecule: long non-coding RNA, 816 nt
Filed under: Fukomys damarensis (Damara mole-rat)
Lineage: Eukaryota; Metazoa; Chordata; Mammalia; Rodentia; Bathyergidae
Description: lncRNA (ENSFDAG00000033195.1)
Source: RNAcentral